AUGGCCCAUAGCCCUUCCCUUCACAGGCCCGUUCUUCAGGAGCCCCCAGAGCUGGAUCGCUGCCCUGGCAGGGACCCUGCCUAUCUUGCUGCUGCUUCUCCGGGCAGCCAGUUACUUCCUGUGGCAACAGCAGGAGGAAAAAAGACUCUGUUCAGAAAGAAAAAGAGCGCAAGAGUUGAGAGAAAUGGCAUGGAGCGCAAUAAAGCAAGAACGAAUCACAAGAGAAUAGAAAAAGGCUCUCUUCAAGCCAGUGGACACUUCCUCAAAAUCUCUGCAGUGGAUGUGAUUCUGGAUGCAAAAACACUAAACCCCAUCCUCCUUGUUUCUGAGGACCAGAGGAGCGUGCAGUGUGCCAAGGAGCCCCAGGAUCUACUGGACAACCCUGAGAGAUUUGAUUGGCAUUAUUGUGUUCUCGGCUGUGAGAGCUUCAUGUCAGGGAGACAUUACUGGGAGGUGGAGGUAGGGGACAGGAAAGAGUGGCAUAUAGGGGUGUGUAGUAAGAAUGUGCAGAGAAAAGGUUGGGUCAAAAUGACACCUGAGAACGGAUUCUGGACUAUGGGGCUGAUUGAUGGGAAUAAGUGUCAGACUCUAACUGAACCCAGAAACAACCUGAAACUUCAUAAGCCCCCUAGGAAAGUGGGGAUCUUCCUGAACUAUGAGACUGGAGAUAUCUCUUUCUACAAUGCUGUGGAUGGAUCGCAUAUUCAUACUUUCCUGUACGAUUACUUCUCUGAGCCUCUAUAUCCUGUUUUCAGAAUUUUGACCUUGGAGCCCACUGAUCUAACAAUUUACCCAGUGCCAGAAGUAGAGAGUUCCUCAAUUCUGACCUAGUGCCUGAUCAUUCCCUGGAGUUAACAGUGACCCCAGGCUUAGCUAACGAAUCUGGGGAGCCUCAGGCUGAAGUAACUUGUCUCUGCUUCUCCCUGCCCAGCUCAGAGCUGAGGGCCUCCCCCUCCACAGCAACCAAUCACAACCAUAAAGCUACAGGCACGCACUGAAGCACUUUACUGAUACUCAUUCAAUUAUUCAUAUGCCAGUUGUUUGAGUUUGGUACCACCUUAUUGUCCCCUUAUACAGAUAAGGAAACUGGAGUGCUGAAAAGUGAAUUAACUUUACAAAGUAGAAUUGACUAGUUAACAAUAAAGCUGGGAUCUAAACAGCAAUAACUAACAUUAAUGGAGAACCUAAAAUGUUCUGAGUGCUGUGUUAUGAGCUUUGGUGGAUGUCACUCCUUUAACCCUCACAACACCCUGUCGGGUAGUCUCAUUUUCCAAGUAUGGAAGCUGAGGCAGGGCAACAUUAAGUAACUUACAUAACUCAUGCAGUAAUUUGUGCAGUUGGGAGAUGGUCAGCUUCAGUCCCUGGCCAUUUGCCCAUUCUUUUCCACCCUGAUUCUUCCCUGAUAGGAAGAACCCACCUGUAGCUCUGAGGUUCUUUUCCCAGGACGGCUCCAGGGUAAGGAUCAUUGUGGGUGGUUGUGGAGUUGACACCCCUGUUGACUCCUUCCCAACUGAUUGUCAGAGCCCUACACCCAGCACUCCUUGGAUUAGCUCUGCAGAGUGUCUGGGUUGAGAGAAUAACCUCACCGUACCCACGUGACACAUGAUUUGAAAAGAGACUAGAGGCCACACUUGAUAAAUCAUGGGGAACAGAGGUGUGCCCACCCAACAAAUGUGAUAAGUGGUCAUGCAGCCAGAGCCAGCCUUCCUACAGUCAAGGUUUCCAGGCAGAGGAAAUACUCUGAAGAUUCUCUGUGAUAUAGGAAAUUUGGAUGAAGGGCGCUAGAAGAACUAUAGG
This is a non-coding RNA of Chlorocebus sabaeus (green monkey), 1797 nucleotides long. The record is from RefSeq and is a predicted model, not a curated record. Lineage: Eukaryota; Metazoa; Chordata; Mammalia; Primates; Cercopithecidae.